This 25-nucleotide non-coding RNA is filed under the name Rattus norvegicus (Norway rat). The record is from RNAcentral. Lineage: Eukaryota; Metazoa; Chordata; Mammalia; Rodentia; Muridae.
UAGAAUUCUGAUGUGAUUAACUCUC